UAUGUGAUCGUCUCUCGCAUAUCAAUAAGCGGAGGAAAAGAAACUAACAAGGAUUCCCCUAGUAACGGCGAGUGAAGCGGGAAGAGCUCAAAUUUGAAAUCUUAAAGGGUUUCCCUUUACGAAUUGUAGUUUAAAGAAGUGUUUUCUGUUGAGGUUUUGGUAAAAGUUCUUUGGAAUAGGACAUCAUAGAGGGUGAGAAUCCCGUAUUUGACCUUUACUUUCAACUUUGUGAUACACUUUCAAAGAGUCGGAUUGUUUGGGAAUGCAGUCCAAAAUGGGUGGUAAAUUUCAUCUAAAGCUAAAUAUUGGCGAGAGACCGAUAGCGAACAAGUACCGUGAGGGAAAGAUGAAAAGAACUUUGAAAAGAGAGUUAAACAGUACGUGAAAUUGUCAAAAGGGAAGCGUUUGACACCAGUGUUGUUUUUCUGAAAAUCAAUUAAAGAACUGUUUAUGCUAAGUUGUUUAGACUUUAUCAGCUAUCUGUUUAGUUUUGAGCUUUUCUUUAAUGCACUUUUCAGUUAACAAGUCAACAUCAAUUUCUUUUGCUGUAAAAAAGCUUGAGGAAGGUGGCUUGAGAUUCGUCUUAAGUGUUUAUAGCCUCUUGCCUAUGCAGUCGGAGAGAUUGAGGUCUGCAGCGUAGAUCCUUCGGGGCUAAAUGCAUUUGUGCUAAGUUAUAGCAUUUUAUAGACAACUUGUUGACUAUGAUUUGUCUUGUAGCUUACUCGCUUAUGUUAUUUUACCUACGCUUAGGAUGUUGAUCUACAGAGCGAGAGU
RNAcentral lists this ribosomal RNA (774 nucleotides) under uncultured Neocallimastigales. RNAcentral's name for it is "partial large subunit ribosomal RNA". It matches the Rfam family "Eukaryotic large subunit ribosomal RNA", at positions 24 to 635 of the family's 3401-position model. The record is from RNAcentral. Lineage: Eukaryota; Fungi; Neocallimastigomycota; Neocallimastigomycetes; Neocallimastigales.